AAAUUGAAGAGUUUGAUCAUGGCUCAGAUUGAACGCUGGCGGCAGGCCUAACACAUGCAAGUCGAACGGUAACAGGAAGCAGCUUGCUGCUUCGCUGACGAGUGGCGGACGGGUGAGUAAUGUCUGGGAAACUGCCUGAUGGAGGGGGAUAACUACUGGAAACGGUGGCUAAUACCGCAUAACGUCGCAAGACCAAAGAGGGGGACCUUCGGGCCUCUUGCCAUCAGAUGUGCCCAGAUGGGAUUAGCUUGUUGGUGAGGUAACGGCUCACCAAGGCGACGAUCCCUAGCUGGUCUGAGAGGAUGACCAGCCACACUGGAACU
Molecule: ribosomal RNA, 323 nt
Filed under: Salmonella enterica
Lineage: Bacteria; Pseudomonadati; Pseudomonadota; Gammaproteobacteria; Enterobacterales; Enterobacteriaceae
Also listed under: 1 other name
Description: bacterial SSU rRNA
Rfam family: Bacterial small subunit ribosomal RNA
Source: RNAcentral